Molecule: long non-coding RNA, 201 nt
Filed under: Lathyrus oleraceus (garden pea)
Lineage: Eukaryota; Viridiplantae; Streptophyta; Magnoliopsida; Fabales; Fabaceae
Description: Pisum sativum (pea) long non-coding RNA (PSAT_LNC007128)
Source: RNAcentral
UCUUCUCAUCAUCAGUAUAUGCUGAGAUCUUUCUAUAGUAAGCCUGCACAUGGGUGCGAGGACAGGAGGUACCGUUGUACUCUUCGAAGGAGGGUGCUUUGAACUUGUACGGGAUUCUCAAGCCCUCUACCAGCCCCAUAUUUGUAACAUCAAAUCCGAGGGAGUUCUGGCAUUCCAUCGCACGAAUCUUCUCAGCCAGGG